Molecule: transfer RNA, 74 nt
Filed under: Tenderia electrophaga (SeqCode)
Lineage: Bacteria; Pseudomonadati; Pseudomonadota; Gammaproteobacteria; Tenderiales (SeqCode); Tenderiaceae (SeqCode)
Description: Candidatus Tenderia electrophaga tRNA-Gln
Rfam family: tRNA
About the family: Transfer RNA (tRNA) molecules are approximately 80 nucleotides in length.
Source: RNAcentral
UGGGGAAUCGUCUAACGGCAGGACAGCGGACUCUGACUCCGCCAAUCUAGGUUCGAAUCCUAGUUCCCCAGCCA